UACAGAGGGUGCGAGCGUUAAUCGGAAUAACUGGGCGUAAAGGGUGCGUAGGUGGUGAUUUAAGUGUGUUGUGAAAGCCCUGGGCUUAACCUGGGAACGGCAACACAUACUGGGUCACUCGAGUAGGUGAGAGGGGAGUGGAAUUUCCGGUGUAGCGGUGAAAUGCGUAGAGAUCGGAAAGAACACCAGUGGCGAAGGCGACUCCCUGGCACCAUACUGACACUGAGGCACGAAAGCGUGGGGAUCAAACAGG
Molecule: ribosomal RNA, 253 nt
Filed under: uncultured prokaryote
Description: partial 16S ribosomal RNA
Rfam family: Bacterial small subunit ribosomal RNA
Source: RNAcentral